UACGGAGGGGGCUAGCGUUGUUCGGAAUUACUGGGCGUAAAGCGCACGUAGGCGGCUUUGUAAGUUAGAGGUGAAAUCCCGGAGCUCAACUCCGGAACUGCCCUUGAAACUGCAGUGCUAGAAUCCUGGAGAGGCGAGUGGAAUUCCGAGUGUAGAGGUGAAAUUCGUAGAUAUUCGGAAGAACACCAGUGGCGAAGGCGACUCGCUGGACAGGUAUUGACGCUGAGGUGCGAAAGCGUGGGGAGCAAACAGG
This 253-nucleotide ribosomal RNA is filed under the name uncultured bacterium. RNAcentral's name for it is "partial 16S ribosomal RNA". It matches the Rfam family "Bacterial small subunit ribosomal RNA", at positions 524 to 776 of the family's 1533-position model. The record is from RNAcentral.